UGGUAGAGCGCCACCUUGCCAAGGUGGAGGUAGCGAGUUCGAGCCUCGUCUUCCGCUCCA
This 60-nucleotide transfer RNA is filed under the name Clostridiales bacterium. Its description in RNAcentral is "tRNA-Ser". It matches the Rfam family "tRNA", at positions 16 to 71 of the family's 71-position model. Rfam says of the family: Transfer RNA (tRNA) molecules are approximately 80 nucleotides in length. Their secondary structure includes four short double-helical elements and three loops (D, anti-codon, and T loops). Further hydrogen bonds mediate the characteristic L-shaped molecular structure. tRNAs have two regions of fundamental functional importance: the anti-codon, which is responsible for specific mRNA codon recognition, and the 3' end, to which the tRNAs corresponding amino acid is attached (by aminoacyl-tRNA synthetases). tRNAs cope with the degeneracy of the genetic code in two manners: having more than one tRNA (with a specific anti-codon) for a particular amino acid; and 'wobble' base-pairing, i.e. permitting non-standard base-pairing at the 3rd anti-codon position. The record is from RNAcentral. Lineage: Bacteria; Bacillati; Bacillota; Clostridia; Eubacteriales.